GACUUGUUGGAAAAGCUCCAAGUGAGUAUCGAAUCGCGAGAUUCUGAACUUCAUCAAGUUCCUUGAGCUGAGUUUUACUACAGGUGGAGUGGACGUUACAGCCGUAGUCGAGCUUUGAAAGUAUCAGAGCCUUAUAAACGUCAAGAAGCGUUUUUGGAUCGGCUCCCCACUUGUGAUGUGCGAGUACUCUGAUAAUGUUUAACAAUUUUCGACAAGACGUUACCAGCCCUUCGACAUGUCGUUUCCACCUCAGCUCGCUAUCGAAAACCAGACCUAAAAAUCUGACCUCCUGGGGCACAACUAUCAUUCGGCCAUUCAGUUUUUUCUUCUGACAGCUCGAAACCCACUUCCUUCGUGUUCGUAGAUAUGGAGUCGAUCGCGUCUUGGAGUUUGCGCGUCGCACCACCGACAGUUUCAUUCGCGCAAGCUAUCAUUAGGUCGUCCACGUACAGGCGUUUAUCGAUCUCGUGCGUGACACCUCGUGUAAUCUCGUUUAUCGCUAUUGCGAAAAGCGAACAAUUCAACGUCGAACCCUGCGGGACACCGUUCUCCAAGACGCGUUCUUUGGAGUAAACGUCGCCAAUCCUAACGGUAAAACUUCGUCCCUCGAGGAACGACCGGACAAAUUUGGGUCAUGUCGUACGCGCCUCUAAUGUCGAAGAGAGUUGCUACCAGGUGUUUGCGCUCGUCGAAUGCCCGCAGGAUAUUAUCGCCGAGCCCGACAAGAUGGUCAGUCGUCGAUCGCUCCUUGCGAAACCCGGCCUGAUAUGGUACCAGCACUCCGCUACUCUCCAAGUAAAACUGGAGUCGCACGUUAACCAUUUUUUCGAGCAGCUUUCCCAAACACGACGUCAGGCUGAUUGGGCGGUAGUUCUUCGAGAAGAGUGGGUCCUUUCCCGGCUUCGGAAUCGGGACCACAAUGGCCUUUUUCCAUUCCCGGGGGUCAUCGGUGCAAUGACGAAGCAUCUCAUUGUGGAUACCAUCUUGCGGAUUCUCCAAUAUCGUGUCGUCAGUACCGCGAAGGAAAUUGGGAUGCCUGGUACGAGACGAGAUCGACCAGAUAUGGCCCCGAUCUUCCCCCAUACCUCAUUCGAUGUAGCGUCCGGUGUGAUAGUAGACACGUAACGCUGCCAAGACGUUCUUUGGGCAUUGAGAAUCGCUCGUCGACACUGCUCUCUUCUUUUUAAACUCGACCAAGUUUUCGUUACUAGGACGACGUUUAAAUUGCCUCAAGGCCUGUUUUUUAACAUUUAUUUUUUGUUUUAUUUCAGGUGUCCACCACGGAACCCUGCGUUUGAUGACACAGGACCUCGAUCUUGGGAUGCAUUCUUCCGCCGCUUUCAAGAUGGAGUCGGUAAGUGAUUUUACAUUUGGGUUUCCCUCGUCGGGAGGAACGAGUUUUUCAGAGAAAGCUUUCCAAUCAGCUUGCCAUAGCUU
Molecule: long non-coding RNA, 1437 nt
Organism: Photinus pyralis (common eastern firefly)
Lineage: Eukaryota; Metazoa; Arthropoda; Insecta; Coleoptera; Lampyridae
Exons: 4
Source: RefSeq, a predicted model, not a curated record